This 508-nucleotide ribosomal RNA is filed under the name uncultured bacterium. RNAcentral describes it as "partial 16S ribosomal RNA". It matches the Rfam family "Bacterial small subunit ribosomal RNA", at positions 29 to 523 of the family's 1533-position model. The record is from RNAcentral.
AUUGAACGCUGGCGGCAGGCCUAACACAUGCAAGUCGAGCGGCAGCGGGAAAGUAGCCUGCUACUUUUGCCGGCGAGCGGCGGACGGGUGAGUAGUGCCUGGGAAAUUGCCCAGUCGAGGGGGAUAACAGUUGGAAACGACUGCUAAUACCGCAUACGCCCUACGGGGGAAAGCAGGGGACCUUCGGGCCUUGCGCGAUUGGAUAUGCCCAGGUGGGAUUAGCUAGUUGGUGAGGUAAUGGCUCACCAAGGCGACGAUCCCUAGCUGGUCUGAGAGGAGGAUCACACACACUGGAAAUGAGACACAGUCCAGACUCCUACGGGAGGCAGCAGUGGGGAAGAUUGAACAAUGGGGGAGACCCUGAUGCAGCCAUGCCGCGUGUGUGAAGAAGGCCUUCGGGUUGUAAAGCACUUUCAGCGAGGAGGAAAGGUUGAUGCCUAAUACGUAUCAACUGUGACGUUACUCGCAGAAGAAGCACCGGCUAACUCCGUGCCAGCAGCCGCAGUAA